RNAcentral lists this ribosomal RNA (513 nucleotides) under Candida albicans. RNAcentral describes it as "eukaryotic LSU rRNA". The stretch from base 145 to 298 matches the Rfam family "5.8S ribosomal RNA". Lineage: Eukaryota; Fungi; Ascomycota; Pichiomycetes; Serinales; Debaryomycetaceae. The record is from RNAcentral.
AUGCUCUGAUUUGCUUAUUGCACCACAUGUGUUUUUCUUUGAAACAAACUUGCUUUGGCGGUGGGCCCAGCCUGCCGCCAGAGGUCUAAACUUACAACCAAUUUUUUAUCAACUUGUCACACCAGAUUAUUACUUAAUAGUCAAAACUUUCAACAACGGAUCUCUUGGUUCUCGCAUCGAUGAAGAACGCAGCGAAAUGCGAUACGUAAUAUGAAUUGCAGAUAUUCGUGAAUCAUCGAAUCUUUGAACGCACAUUGCGCCCUCUGGUAUUCCGGAGGGCAUGCCUGUUUGAGCGUCGUUUCUCCCUCAAACCGCUGGGUUUGGUGUUGAGCAAUACGACUUGGGUUUGCUUGAAAGACGGUAGUGGUAAGGCGGGAUCGCUUUGACAAUGGCUUAGGUCUAACCAAAAACAUUGCUUGCGGCGGUAACGUCUACCACGUAUAUCUUCAAACUUUGACCUCAAAUCAGGUAGGACUACCCGCUGAACUUAAGCAUAUCAAAAGGCGGGAGGAA